UACGUAGGGUGCGAGCGUUAAUCGGAAUUACUGGGCGUAAAGCGUGCGCAGGCGGCUUUGCAAGACAGAUGUGAAAUCCCCGGGCUCAACCUGGGAACUGCAUUUGUGACUGCAAGGCUAGAGUACGGCAGAGGGGGAUGGAAUGCCGCGUGUAGCAGUGAAAUGCGUAGAUAUGCGGAGGAACACCGAUGGCGAAGGCAAUCCCCUGGGCCUGCACUGACGCUCAUGCACGAAAGCGUGGGGAGCAAACAGG
This 253-nucleotide ribosomal RNA is filed under the name uncultured bacterium. RNAcentral describes it as "partial 16S ribosomal RNA". It matches the Rfam family "Bacterial small subunit ribosomal RNA", at positions 524 to 776 of the family's 1533-position model. The record is from RNAcentral.